This 240-nucleotide unclassified non-coding RNA is filed under the name soil metagenome. RNAcentral describes it as "partial contains 5.8S ribosomal RNA, internal transcribed spacer 2, and large subunit ribosomal RNA". The record is from RNAcentral.
AAGACUAUAGACCUGCGGAGUACCUGCGGAGGGAUCAUUACCGAGUAUCGGGUGCUCUCGCGCUCUACUCCCACCCUGUGCUUAUCUAUAACUGUUGCUUUGGCGGGCCGGUGGGUCACCCACCGCCGGGCGGCGCCUGGAGAGCGCCCGCCAGAGGACCAAGCAAAACUCUUUGUCAACAUGGUCGCAUCUGAGCACGCGAGAAUGAACAAAACUUUCAACAACGGAUCUCUAGAUCGG